UAGUCUCCUAUACUAUAUAUCUAUGGUACUAGAGCUCCGUACUAUAGUCUCGUUUUCGAUCUUAGGGUGUUCAAAUCAACGAUCCACACCGUUAAAACUGAUCUAAGGUAUUUAAAGUUUUUAGAGAAAUAAAAUUUUAUAUUUUUUCAACAUAGUUUACUUUAUGAUCAAACCAUUUCAAAAUUGUCAAUUUUCAAUGGCUACUAUGGCGAGUUUAGAGUUUAACGGUGUAGAAGAAUCUAAAUUCUUCAAAUUUUGAUAGAAAAUAUUUUAAACUAUCUAGAUUAAGGUUAACAUUCUUGAUCUUAAAUUUAAAAGUCCUAUACUCAAAUUUUAAAAAUUAAUAAACUUUUACUGUCAAUUUUAACAUAAUUUAUUUACUAAGUAAAUGAUAUCGAAAAAAAUUAAAAUUUUAUUUCUAAGAACUUCAUAUAUCUUAGAUCAUAUUUAAUGGUGUGGAUCGUUAAUUUGAAUAUCCUAAAAUCGAAAACAAGACUAUAGCAAUGGAGCUCCGGUACUAUAGAUAAUAUAGUAGCUUAAUUCUCUCCCUCUCUCUCUCUCUCUCUCUCUCUCUAUAUAUAUAUAUAUAUAUAUAUUCAAA
RNAcentral lists this long non-coding RNA (601 nucleotides) under Ananas comosus (pineapple). Its description in RNAcentral is "long non-coding RNA (ACOM_LNC028618)". The record is from RNAcentral. Lineage: Eukaryota; Viridiplantae; Streptophyta; Magnoliopsida; Poales; Bromeliaceae.